RNAcentral lists this long non-coding RNA (496 nucleotides) under Capsicum annuum. Its description in RNAcentral is "long non-coding RNA (CANN_LNC011793)". The record is from RNAcentral. Lineage: Eukaryota; Viridiplantae; Streptophyta; Magnoliopsida; Solanales; Solanaceae.
GGUAGAGGGGGUGAUGGUGACAUUUGGUGAGUUGAUUCUCCUAAGGCGGUUACAUAAAAUUGAGGGGUGGUGGAAAGUAAGGCUCCAAGAAAGGUCUUGGUUCUUGGGACUUGGUACCUGGUACAUUUUAAGAGGAUGAAUCAGCCAGAUAGAAAGGUUCUCAAUGGUGGGUAUGGAGUGAGAGAUAAAGGAUGAAAGCAAUGGAUUUUUGAUUUGGGGUUCAAAAAGAAUGUGGUCAGUAAUGGUAGGAGAGAUAGUUUUUGGGGUUUGGGUUUAAAAUAUAUAGGCUUGAUUUUGUAGGAUGGGGCUAUCCAAAACUGUGGCGAUAGGCGUAGCACCAUUAUUAACAGCAAGAGAGUGAGGAAGGGAGAACUCUUCAUCAUCGGAGUAAUCAAUGAUAAGAGUGGAGGAUUCGAGGGGUGACUUAAAGGUUUGGGGAUGAAGGAUCCAUGAUGAAGUCUAGCAGAAAAUAAGAAUUUAUAAGAGAGGAUUUGAG